Molecule: ribosomal RNA, 508 nt
Filed under: uncultured bacterium
Lineage: Bacteria
Description: partial 16S ribosomal RNA
Rfam family: Bacterial small subunit ribosomal RNA
Source: RNAcentral
GACGAACGCUGGCGGCGUGCUUAACACAUGCAAGUCGAACGGGCCUUGUCCCCUUUUUUUUUGGGGGUGGGGUUAGUGGCGAACGGGUGAGUAACACGUGAGUAACCUGCCCCUCACUUCUGGAUAACCGCUUGAAAGGGUGGCUAAUACGGGGUGUUCUGGCCUGCUCGCAUGGGUGGGUUUGGUAAGAUUCGACCGGUUUUGGUUGUUUUGGUGGGGGAUGGGCUGGCGGCCUAUCAGCUUGUUGGUGGGGUGGUGGCCUGCCAAGGGUUUGUCGGGUACCCGGGCUUGGAGGGUGGGCGGUCACGCUGGGACGGAGACACGGCCCAGACUCCUACGGGGGGCAGCAGUGGGGAAUAGUGCACAAUGGGCGCAAGCCUGAUGCAGCGACGCCGCGUGAGGGAUGGAGGCCUUCGGGUUGUGAACCUCUUUCGCCAGUGAAGAAGGUCCUGCUCUUUGUGGUGGGGUUGACGGUAGCUGGGUUAAUGAAGCGCCGGCUAACUACGUG